CCUUACCAAACUCUACAAAUAAUCUUCUGUCUUAAGAGCACCCAGGAUGUGUUUUCAUUGGAAUUAGCUAGCCCUGGGAAAGACAGUCCCUCCAGAGUUAGCAACACCCCAAGAUGUCAAAGAUAAAAAUGCAAAAAUUAAAACUCCAUGAUUAACACAACUUUGAAGUCCUUCUCACUUGUCUUUAGAUGAAGGGCAACAUCAUUGCAACAAGUCACACUUUGAGAACUCAAGAGAAUAUGUUUGUUCUGAAAAUCCAGGAAUUAUUGCCAACCCAUGGUUGUCUCCAUAUGUCUUGGGAAAAAUAGGAAAAGGAUUUUUUGAGUUGGUGAUUUGAAUCCAAGACACAAAGAUUCAGGCUCUGGUAAAAAGAUUGUAUAGGCUAUAUUGGCUGACAUAAAAGGUAAGAGCAAGAAUGCAGAGGAUUUCUAUCAACAUAAAGAAGAGUCAAAGAUGGAGAAUAAGAGAAGUUAAGUGGUUUUCCUAAGAUCACAUAAUUAAGACUUAUUAAUAAAAAGUUUGAUGCUCUUUCUAUUAUAACAUAGUGUCUCUCCAAAAUAUUUUCUAAUUCUGAAAUUCUGUGAGUAUAAAUCUAAAUAGCACGAAACAAUGGAGAGGCUAUUCAAGACCAUUUAUAGUUCCUAUCACAAAAAAAGAAAGAAUGAGAAGACAGGAGAGAGCAAAGAAUAAAACAAAAACUGAAACAAAAAAUAGAAACAGAAAAGAAUAAAAAAGAAAACAGAGCAUUAAAAAUGCAUUCAGAGAUUAAGAGAGAUUUGUUCACCUUGAUUUUUGCUCAAAAAGGCAGUCACACACCAAUUCAUUUCUUUUUCUUUUUUUUGUAGAGACAUAAAAGGCACACAAUGAAAUCUUAAUAAAUGUAUUGGAUGUUGCAGCAUUAACUGAUGAGCCAGACAAUGUAAAGACCUCAGACUACCAAAUGUUUUGAAAGACGAAUAGUGAAUGUGAAACUGUGAACCAAAAUAGAUUUUUAGAAUCCUUGAAAAAAUAGAGCUAGAGAAAGUCUUUGAGACCAUUGAUUGCAAAUAUUUGAGUUUACAACUGAGCAAAUGGAGAAAAGAGAAGUGACUCGUCAGUCCAACAAGUGGCAGAAUCAGAACCAGACCCCAAUGCUUGGGUCUUCUGUCCCUCCUGGCACCAAAGUCACCUAUCAUAAGUAACUUGAGUUUCAGAGGGGAAGGAAAAGACUACAAUGUCCCAGCACUGUUCCAGACACUUUUUAGGGGACUCCAAGACACCUUGUGUAAUGCCUAUUUUAAGUAGCUGGAAGAUUCUAUAGCAUGGGAAAAGCCCACUGAAGGCAAAAGUAAACAUUACCUAUUGUGGUCCUGGAAAAGAAAAUCAUCUCUCAUUUAUCUCCUGGAGCUGUUUGACGAACUUGUGCCCUGGUUUUACUUUGGGAGCCACCUUUCUCUUUCAGGUGCUGUCUCAGUGGAAUAGUCAACCAAUGUAUCCUACAUUUUGGACCAGCAGAAGGAAGUAAUGAGAACAGAAAACAAAUAAGAAGUGAGUUGGAGGGAGAAGGAGACUUUAGCAUCUUCCUGAAAUCAGGAAGAAAGUUUCAAGAAUAAAGUAAUCCAUAGGGUCAAAUACUGCAGUAAGUUUAAUUAGGAUGAAGACUGCAAAGAUGGUAUUAGUUUGGUACUUAGGACAUUGGUGACCUCCACAGGUGACUUUCAGGAGAAUUAUCUGGGGAACUUGUUGAUAGAAUUUGUGAAUCUCCACCUUUAGGGAUUCUGAUUUAGAAGGAGUAGGAAGAAGGCCUUAGGAUCUCCAUUUAUAACAACCACUACUGAUUAUUUUGAGGCAGGUAGCAUACAGACCACAUUUGAAAGAAACACUAGGUAAGUGUGAUUUUCAUUCAAAGGACAAAAAACAUAAAGUUACCUAAUUCAGGGACCAUUUCAAAGACCAAAUCAAAUCAGUAGCCUGGCUGAUCUGAUCGACUGCGCAGAAACUAGCCAUUACCAUGGCAAAGUGGGGAGGAACAGUCAAUAAAAAGCAAUUGAUGGCCAGGCGCGGUGGCUCACGCCUGUAAUCCCAGCACUUUGGGAGGCCAAGGCGGGCGGAUCACGAGGUCAGGAG
RNAcentral lists this long non-coding RNA (2106 nucleotides) under Homo sapiens (human). RNAcentral describes it as "HSALNT0297840". The record is from RNAcentral. Lineage: Eukaryota; Metazoa; Chordata; Mammalia; Primates; Hominidae.